CUCCGGGUUGCUGCAGUGGGGAAUAUUGGACAAUGGGGGAAACCCUGAUCCAGCAAUGCCGCGUGUGUGAAGAAGGCCUGCGGGUUGUAAAGCACUUUCGGUUGGGAGGACUGCUUCUAGCACUAAUAUUGUUGGAAGUUGACGUUACCUUCAGAAGAAGCACCGGCUAACUCCGUGCCAGCAGCCGCGGUAAUACGGGGGUGCAAGCGUUAAUCGGAAUUACUGGGCGUAAAGCGCGCGUAGGCGGCUAGAUCAGUCGGGUGUGAAAGCCCCGGGCUUAACCUGGGAACUGCAUCCGAUAAUUUCUAGCUUGAGUACAGGAGAGGAGAGUGGAAUUCCACAUGUAGCGGUGAAAUGCGUAGAUAUGUGGAGGAACACCAAUGGCGAAGGCAGCUCUCUGGCCUGAUACUGACGCUGAGGUGCGAAAGCGUGGGGAGCAAACAGGAUUAGAUACCCGUGUAGUC
RNAcentral lists this ribosomal RNA (464 nucleotides) under uncultured bacterium. RNAcentral's name for it is "partial 16S ribosomal RNA". It matches the Rfam family "Bacterial small subunit ribosomal RNA", at positions 339 to 795 of the family's 1533-position model. The record is from RNAcentral.